GAUGAACGCUGGCGGCGUGCCUAAUACAUGCAAGUCGAGCGAACGGACGAGAAGCUUGCUUCUCUGAUGUUAGCGGCGGACGGGUGAGUAACACGUGGAAACCUACCUAUAAGACUGGGAUAACUUCGGGAAACCGGAGCUAAUACCGGAUAAUAUUUUGAACCGCAUGGUUCAAAAGUGAAAGACGGUCUUGCUGUCACUUAUAGAUGGAUCCGCGCUGCAUUAGCUAGUUGGUAAGGUAACGGCUUACCAAGGCAACGAUGCAUAGCCGACCUGAGAGGGUGAUCGGCCACACUGGAACUGAGACACGGUCCAGACUCCUACGGGAGGCAGCAGUAGGGAAUCUUCCGCAAUGGGCGAAAGCCUGACGGAGCAACGCCGCGUGAGUGAUGAAGGUCUUCGGAUCGUAAAACUCUGUUAUUAGGGAAGAACAUAUGUGUAAGUAACUGUGCACAUCUUGACGGUACCUAAUCAGAAAGCCACGGCUAACUACGUG
RNAcentral lists this ribosomal RNA (496 nucleotides) under uncultured bacterium. RNAcentral describes it as "partial 16S ribosomal RNA". It matches the Rfam family "Bacterial small subunit ribosomal RNA", at positions 28 to 507 of the family's 1533-position model. The record is from RNAcentral.